Molecule: ribosomal RNA, 503 nt
Filed under: uncultured bacterium
Lineage: Bacteria
Description: bacterial SSU rRNA
Rfam family: Bacterial small subunit ribosomal RNA
Source: RNAcentral
AUUGAACGCUGGCGGCAUGCUUUACACAUGCAAGUCGAACGGCAGCACGGGGGCAACCCUGGUGGCGAGUGGCGAACGGGUGAGUAAUAUAUCGGAACGUACCCGGAAAUGGGGGAUAACGUAGCGAAAGUUACGCUAAUACCGCAUAUGCCCUAAGGGGGAAAGCGGGGGAUUCGCAAGAACCUCGCGUUUUCGGAGCGGCCGAUAUCGGAUUAGCUAGUAGGUGAGGUAAAGGCUCACCUAGGCGACGAUCCGUAGCUGGUCUGAGAGGACGACCAGCCACACUGGAACUGAGACACGGUCCAGACUCCUACGGGAGGCAGCAGUGGGGAAUUUUGGACAAUGGGGGCAACCCUGAUCCAGCCAUUCCGCGUGAGUGAAGAAGGCCUUUGGGUUGUAAAGCUCUUUCAGCAGGAACGAAACGGUGGCCACUAAUACUGGCUACUAAUGACGGUACCUGAAGAAGAAGCACCGGCUAACUACGUGCCAGCAGCCGCGGUAAU